UGGGGAAUAUUGCACAAUGGGCGCAAGCCUGAUGCAGCCAUGCCGCGUGUAUGAAGAAGGCCUUCGGGUUGUAAAGUACUUUCAGCGGGGAGGAAGGCGAUAAGGUUAAUAACCUUGUCGAUUGACGUUACCCGCAGAAGAAGCACCGGCUAACUCCGUGCCAGCAGCCGCGGUAAUACGGAGGGUGCAAGCGUUAAUCGGAAUUACUGGGCGUAAAGCGCACGCAGGCGGUCUGUCAAGUCGGAUGUGAAAUCCCCGGGCUCAACCUGGGAACUGCAUUCGAAACUGGCAGGCUAGAGGCUUGUAGAGGGGGGUAGAAUUCCAGGUGUAGCGGGGAAAUGCGUAGAGAUCUUGAGGAAUACCGGUGGCGAAGGCGGCCCCCUGGACAAAGACUGACGCUCAGGUGCGAAAGCGUGGGGAGCAAACA
RNAcentral lists this ribosomal RNA (427 nucleotides) under uncultured bacterium. RNAcentral's name for it is "partial 16S ribosomal RNA". It matches the Rfam family "Bacterial small subunit ribosomal RNA", at positions 355 to 774 of the family's 1533-position model. The record is from RNAcentral.